RNA transcript from Chiroxiphia lanceolata (lance-tailed manakin), 1055 nucleotides. It is a transcript of the gene named general transcription factor IIIC subunit 6, with no coding region annotated. The record is from RefSeq and is a predicted model, not a curated record. The transcript is spliced from 6 exons. NCBI's taxonomy places the organism in Eukaryota, Metazoa, Chordata, Aves, Passeriformes, Pipridae.
GGGCUCGGGCGGGCGCUGGUGAUAUGGCGGCGGCGGCGGCGGGCACGGGGAGCGAGGGCGAGAGGAGCGAUGAAGCGGAGGAAGACGAGGUGGAGGAGCAGCUGGUCAUGGUGGAACUAUCAGGAAUUAUUGAUUCAGACUUCUUAGAAAAAUGUGAAAACAAAUGCAAGAUUUUGGUGAGUGAUUACAGCACAAUAGGAAAGGGGGAAUAGAGACAGAGAAGCCCAUUUUACAAGUGGACAGAUAUGUAUUUGCAGGAGAAUAUGAAGAUACCUUGGGAACCUGUGUGGUUUUUGAAGAAAACACAGAGCACGAUGCGGAAGGCAACCAAAAAGUACAGCUGAAAUACAAGUGUCACACAGUGAAGAAGUUGAACAUGACACGGACCCUUCUGACAGAAAAGAAGGAAGGAGAAGAGAAUGUUGGUGGAGUGGAGUGGUUACAGAUCAAGGACAGAGAUUUUUCCUACAGCAGGCCUAAUAUGAUUUGCAGUUUUAUGCGUGAAAAGGAUGAUUCUGAGGAGUCAGGCCAGACCCAAGACAAAUUGACUGAAGAGUCAGAAGGAGAGGUGAGUGGUGAAGGAAACUCUGACAUGAAUUGUGAUCUGGAAAAGCAGCACACCUUGGAAAUAGAUGCUUCUAUUCCUCUGCCUGAUAGCCCUGCUUCUGGGACAGAGGAAUCUCCUUCUGGAAAUACUGCCUUAGAGGAUGUCCCUUCAUGAUAUCAACUCUGAUCUUGUCAUGAUUUUUUCACAGAAUUAACAGGCCAACUUUUACAGGCUAUGACAUGAUUUCCACUUUAUCUGAGCAAUUAAUAAUGGAAAAACAGACAUUGUGUUCUUGUGCAUUGCUUUUGUGUUUGAAAUACAGUGGGAAGGGCUGAAGUGUUUUUAAAAAACUGAUUUGAAAUGUAUGUAUCUCUACCUCAAACUUGAACAAGGGGAAAUGGUUACAUAAUUAAAAGAAACUCAUAACUUAGAAAAAUGUUGAUGUCUGGAACAUUUUGUAAAAAUUAAAAAACAUCACUGUUUAAAAUAAAGUCUUGAAUUUUUCAAA